RNAcentral lists this ribosomal RNA (253 nucleotides) under uncultured bacterium. RNAcentral's name for it is "partial 16S ribosomal RNA". It matches the Rfam family "Bacterial small subunit ribosomal RNA", at positions 524 to 776 of the family's 1533-position model. The record is from RNAcentral.
UACGAAGGGGGCUAGCGUUGCUCGGAAUCACUGGGCGUAAAGGGUGCGUAGGCGGGUCUUUAAGUCAGGGGUGAAAUCCUGGAGCUCAACUCCAGAACUGCCUUUGAUACUGAGGAUCUUGAGUUCGGGAGAGGUGAGUGGAACUGCGAGUGUAGAUGUGAAAUUCGUAGAUAUUCGCAAGAACACCAGUGGCGAAGGCGGCUCACUGGCCCGAUACUGACGCUGAGGCACGAAAGCGUGGGGAGCAAACAGG